Molecule: ribosomal RNA, 459 nt
Filed under: uncultured bacterium
Lineage: Bacteria
Description: partial 16S ribosomal RNA
Rfam family: Bacterial small subunit ribosomal RNA
Source: RNAcentral
CCUACGGGUGGCAGCAGUGAGGAAUAUUGGUCAAUGGACGAGAGUCUGAACCAGCCAAGUAGCGUGAAGGAUGACUGCCCUAUGGGUUGUAAACUUCUUUUAUAUGGGAAUAAAACAGGGUAUGCAUACCCUCUUGUAUGUACCAUAUGAAUAAGGAUCGGCUAACUCCUUGCCAGCAGCCGCGGUAAUACGGAGGAUCCGAGCGUUAUCCGGAUUUAUAGGGUUUAAGGGGUGCGAAGGCGGUCUGUUAAGUCAGCGGUCAAAGCCCGGGGCUAAACCCCGGCCCGCCGUUGAAACUGGCAGUCUCGAGUUUGAGAGAGGUAUGCGGAAUGCGCGGUGUAGCGGUGAAAUGCAUAGAUAUCGCGCAGAACUCCGAUUGCGAAGGCAGCAUGCCGGCUCCACACUGACGCUGAGGCACGAAAGCGUGGGUAUCGAACAGGAUUAGAUACCCUUGUAGUC